RNAcentral lists this ribosomal RNA (546 nucleotides) under bacterium enrichment culture SBR_L_B33. RNAcentral's name for it is "bacterial SSU rRNA". It matches the Rfam family "Bacterial small subunit ribosomal RNA", at positions 338 to 876 of the family's 1533-position model. The record is from RNAcentral.
CCUACGGGAGGCAGCAGUGGGGAAUUUUGGACAAUGGGCGCAAGCCUGAUCCAGCCAUGCCGCGUGAGUGAAGAAGGCCUUCGGGUUGUAAAGCUCUUUCGGUGGGGAAGAAAUUGCACGGGAUAAUACCCUGUGUAGAUGACGGUACCUGGAGAAGAAGCACCGGCUAACUACGUGCCAGCAGCCGCGGUAAUACGUAGGGUGCGAGCGUUAAUCGGAAUUACUGGGCGUAAAGCGUGCGCAGGCGGUUGGAUAAGUCAGAUGUGAAAUCCCCGGGCUCAACCUGGGAACUGCAUUUGAGACUGCCCAGCUGGAGUUUGGCAGAGGGGGGUGGAAUUCCACGUGUAGCAGUGAAAUGCGUAGAGAUGUGGAGGAACACCGAUGGCGAAGGCAGCCCCCUGGGCCAAUACUGACGCUCAUGCACGAAAGCGUGGGGAGCAAACAGGAUUAGAUACCCUGGUAGUCCACGCCCUAAACGAUGUCAACUAGGUGUUGGGAGGGUUAAACCUUUUAGUGCCGUAGCUAACGCGUGAAGUGACCGCCUGG